CGGACGGGUGAGUAACGCGUGGGUAACCUGCCUCAUACAGGGAAUAGCAGCUGGAAACGGCUGAUAAAACCGCAUAAGCGCACAGUGCCGCAUGGCACAGUGUGAAAAACUCCGGUGGUAUGAGAUGGACCCGCGUCUGAUUAGCUUGUUGGCGGGGUAACGGCCCACCAAGACUACGAUGGAUAGGGGUUCUGAGAGGAAGGUCCCCCACAUUGGAACUGGGACACGGUCCAA
This 234-nucleotide ribosomal RNA is filed under the name uncultured bacterium. RNAcentral's name for it is "partial 16S ribosomal RNA". It matches the Rfam family "Bacterial small subunit ribosomal RNA", at positions 99 to 334 of the family's 1533-position model. The record is from RNAcentral.